AGCGAACGCUGGCGGCAGGCCUAACACAUGCAAGUCGAACGAACCUUUCGGGGUUAGUGGCGGACGGGUGAGUAACACGUGGGAACGUGCCUUUAGGUUCGGAAUAACUCAGGGAAACUUGUGCUAAUACCGAAUGUGCCCUUCGGGGGAAAGAUUUAUCGCCUUUAGAGCGGCCCGCGUCUGAUUAGCUAGUUGGUUGAGGUAAUGGCUCACCAAGGCGACGAUCAGUAGCUGGUCUGAGAGGAUGAUCAGCCACAUUGGGACUGAGACACGGCCCAAACUCCUACGGGAGGCAGCAGUGGGGAAUCUUGCGCACUGGGCGAAAGCCUGACGCAGCCAUGCCGCGUGAAUGAUGAAGGUCUUAGGAUUGUAAAAUUCUUUCACCGGGGACGAUAAUGACGGUACCCGGAGAAGAAGCCCCGGCUAACUUCGU
Molecule: ribosomal RNA, 433 nt
Filed under: uncultured bacterium
Lineage: Bacteria
Description: partial 16S ribosomal RNA
Rfam family: Bacterial small subunit ribosomal RNA
Source: RNAcentral